Molecule: small nuclear RNA, 106 nt
Organism: Perognathus longimembris pacificus (Pacific pocket mouse)
Lineage: Eukaryota; Metazoa; Chordata; Mammalia; Rodentia; Heteromyidae
Source: RefSeq, a predicted model, not a curated record
GUACUUACUUUAAUAGCACAUGCACUAAAACUGGAAUGAAACAGAGAGAUUAGCAUGGUCCCUGAGCAAGGAUGACAUGCAAAUUUGGAAAACAUUCCACCGCUUA